RNAcentral lists this ribosomal RNA (1791 nucleotides) under Escherichia coli BIDMC 9. RNAcentral's name for it is "bacterial LSU rRNA". It matches the Rfam family "Bacterial large subunit ribosomal RNA", at positions 1156 to 2925 of the family's 2925-position model. Lineage: Bacteria; Pseudomonadati; Pseudomonadota; Gammaproteobacteria; Enterobacterales; Enterobacteriaceae. The record is from RNAcentral.
GGCCUGCGCGGAAGAUGUAACGGGGCUAAACCAUGCACCGAAGCUGCGGCAGCGACACUAUGUGUUGUUGGGUAGGGGAGCGUUCUGUAAGCCUGCGAAGGUGUACUGUGAGGUAUGCUGGAGGUAUCAGAAGUGCGAAUGCUGACAUAAGUAACGAUAAAGCGGGUGAAAAGCCCGCUCGCCGGAAGACCAAGGGUUCCUGUCCAACGUUAAUCGGGGCAGGGUGAGUCGACCCCUAAGGCGAGGCCGAAAGGCGUAGUCGAUGGGAAACAGGUUAAUAUUCCUGUACUUGGUGUUACUGCGAAGGGGGGACGGAGAAGGCUAUGUUGGCCGGGCGACGGUUGUCCCGGUUUAAGCGUGUAGGCUGGUUUUCCAGGCAAAUCCGGAAAAUCAAGGCUGAGGCGUGAUGACGAGGCACUACGGUGCUGAAGCAACAAAUGCCCUGCUUCCAGGAAAAGCCUCUAAGCAUCAGGUAACAUCAAAUCGUACCCCAAACCGACACAGGUGGUCAGGUAGAGAAUACCAAGGCGCUUGAGAGAACUCGGGUGAAGGAACUAGGCAAAAUGGUGCCGUAACUUCGGGAGAAGGCACGCUGAUAUGUAGGUGAAGUCCCUCGCGGAUGGAGCUGAAAUCAGUCGAAGAUACCAGCUGGCUGCAACUGUUUAUUAAAAACACAGCACUGUGCAAACACGAAAGUGGACGUAUACGGUGUGACGCCUGCCCGGUGCCGGAAGGUUAAUUGAUGGGGUUAGCGGUAACGCGAAGCUCUUGAUCGAAGCCCCGGUAAACGGCGGCCGUAACUAUAACGGUCCUAAGGUAGCGAAAUUCCUUGUCGGGUAAGUUCCGACCUGCACGAAUGGCGUAAUGAUGGCCAGGCUGUCUCCACCCGAGACUCAGUGAAAUUGAACUCGCUGUGAAGAUGCAGUGUACCCGCGGCAAGACGGAAAGACCCCGUGAACCUUUACUAUAGCUUGACACUGAACAUUGAGCCUUGAUGUGUAGGAUAGGUGGGAGGCUUUGAAGUGUGGACGCCAGUCUGCAUGGAGCCGGCCUUGAAAUACCACCCUUUAAUGUUUGAUGUUCUAACGUUGGCCCCUGAUCGGGGUUGCGGACAGUGUCUGGUGGGUAGUUUGACUGGGGCGGUCUCCUCCUAAAGAGUAACGGAGGAGCACGAAGGUUGGCUAAUCCUGGUCGGACAUCAGGAGGUUAGUGCAAUGGCAUAAGCCAGCUUGACUGCGAGCGUGACGGCGCGAGCAGGUGCGAAAGCAGGUCAUAGUGAUCCGGUGGUUCUGAAUGGAAGGGCCAUCGCUCAACGGAUAAAAGGUACUCCGGGGAUAACAGGCUGAUACCGCCCAAGAGUUCAUAUCGACGGCGGUGUUUGGCACCUCGAUGUCGGCUCAUCACAUCCUGGGGCUGAAGUAGGUCCCAAGGGUAUGGCUGUUCGCCAUUUAAAGUGGUACGCGAGCUGGGUUUAGAACGUCGUGAGACAGUUCGGUCCCUAUCUGCCGUGGGCGCUGGAGAACUGAGGGGGGCUGCUCCUAGUACGAGAGGACCGGAGUGGACGCAUCACUGGUGUUCGGGUUGUCAUGCCAAUGGCACUGCCCGGUAGCUAAAUGCGGAAGAGAUAAGUGCUGAAAGCAUCUAAGCACGAAACUUGCCCCGAGAUGAGUUCUCCCUGACUCCUUGAGAGUCCUGAAGGAACGUUGAAGACGACGACGUUGAUAGGCCGGGUGUGUAAGCGCAGCGAUGCGUUGAGCUAACCGGUACUAAUGAACCGUGAGGCUUAACCUU